CAGCACGGGCGGGGACGAGGUUGCUAUGCAAAUGACGCGGCGGCCCGGUAGCCCCCUUUACCCAGGGGCCCUCUGGUUGCCAAAACAGACCAUUCCCCAGAACAGUCGCCUAGAAACGGGCGCUGUCAUAGCAGCCUCUGUAGCUGCGAGCCAGCCACGCUGCCAGGAGGAGCUGGGUCGGGGUGUUCAGACCUCCUCAGCAUCCCCCCCACCUCACACACACACCGAUCUCCACCUCAGGGAAGGGAGUGGUGGCUUGGGCUCCUCCUUGGAGCAGGGGAGGGCGCUAAUUGGAUUGGAACGCUCCAGAAACACAUCAGCUGCCCCUCCCUGGGGGAAAGGGGUUGAUGGGGGGAGGCUGCAGACAGUCUUUGUGAUGGGUCUCAGCUUCCCCUCCCCGCAGCCUCCCCCGACCUGGUCCUCACCAGCCUCUGCCCACCCAGCGCCAUCCUAGGGCACAAUGGCAAGCUCGCUGUGGCGUGGAGGAGGCGGACAUCCAUCAGAUAAUCACCACAGUGAAAUCCAGCCAUGAUAAGGAGGGUUAACAAAAAAAAAUGGAGCAGCAGGCUAUUCAGCAGUGGGGAGGGCCUGGCCUGUGGGCCGGAUGGACAGCCAAGUCAGGAUGAGCUGGAGAGCAGGUUGGCCUGGUCAGAACCGGGAGGAGACUGGAGAGGCGGCUCAGCAUGCCCUGGAAGAAGGCUAGCCUGUGGGAUGCUGUUUCAGGUUUAUAGAAAAAUCGCAGAGAUCGUACAGAGAGUUCCAGCAAACCUUUCAUCCAACUUCUCCCGAGGUUAACAUCUUGCAUAACCAGGUCCGGGUGUGACCUCCUGCAUUCCUAACAAGUUCCCGGUUGCUGUUGGACCCCACUUUGAGGAGUAAGGGGCUAGGGGACAGGUGGGAAUACAGAGUUGAAUAAGACUCAACCCCUGCUGUCAUCACUCAUGUAUGCAAGCUCUCUAUGUACCUGAUGCGGAGUCUUACAGGAGUCACAGUUCCCAAGAGGAAGUGGUAUUUUCAGGCAAAAUGAAGUUUUCUGUUUAAAGUCUGACUUUCUGAUGGUGGGGCUUCAGUGAUCUAAGAGCAAGGCGUUUGGAGGACAGCAAAGCCUGCUAGUUGCCUUGAAACCAAACCCCAGAACCCUCCUCUGGUCUGCCUUGAGGGGAGGCUGUAAGGAUGGCCGGAGGUGGGGGAGGUAGACGUGUCUGGAGUGGAGGAGCCAGGACACUUCCCAGACAGAGCACUGUAUCACCAACAUAUUUAGAAGGAAUUAGAGUGAAAUGGACAUUUAUGUUGUCAGUCAAAACAGUGACCGAGUUUUUGUUUCCCUUCCAAAAACUGCUGCACCCUUCCAUCCUAAGGGAGGAGAAGGAGAGAGAAGGAACCUCAACAAACGCUAUCAAACGGCCAACACCGCUGACCUCCGGGCGCAUGGGGGAAGGGAGAGUCAGAGCUGGGAGACGAGGGCAUUUGAUUUUUACCUCUCAUCCUCUGUACAUUUCAAAAAGAGAGAGCAGUACGGGUGAUUUUUAUUUUGCGCCUAUGUGGGUUUUUGGGUAGUCCUCAACUUUUUUAUUUUGCAUACAACAUACUUUUGUAAUCAAGGGAAGACAGGUCAUAAUGAAAAAACCAAUCCAAAGUGGUUGGCCACUGGGUGGCCAUCCCACUGUCCCCACCUGCAGCUGCGCACCACCCUUGCCCCAGGGCUGGAAUCCCUGGUCUCGUGGCUGCCCACACUUGGCAGGGGUGGGAGUAGGGCAGAGAGCGAGCAGCCUUGGUCCUCCGCUGCGCCCAGUCUGGCCCCUCUGGGCAAAUCUCUGACCCCUGGGCGGCAGACCCCGCCGGCUGAUAUUGCUGUAGUGGCCUUGGCUAUCUCCCACGCCUCCCAGCCGGGUGCCAGCUGCCAGGCCUCCCUGCUCAGCUGGACUGCGGCCCGCCCCCUUCUGACCAGCCUUUCCCGGGGCUGGGAUCAUCCUAGCGUUUCAGCUGCUGACACAUGGCACUUGGCUGGGUCGUCGAUGCUGCAACUCUGAUCUCAAGAAAGGCACCUCCAGCCUUCACCCAGACUGUCCGGAGUCUGUUUGGCCGUGAAGACCAAGGCUCAUCCUCCCAGUCAGCAGGUGAGCAUAGCACAAGGUCAACAGAGACCCCGGAGAGAGAGAGUGAAUCUGGCCCUGGCUUUGCGAGGCCCCCUGCAAAAGCCUCACAGAUUUUGGGGUCCUGAGACGCCUGCUUCCAGUAAUUGUGAUCCCAGCUGGGGGACCUCAAGCAUGUCCCUCCUCUGUAACAUGGAGAUGGCAAGGAUCUCUUAUAUCCAGGGACUCUGUCAGGAGCAAAUAGGUUAAUGUAUGGGAAGAUGCUCGUGAGUUGAAGGGACUUAAAUGGGAUUUUCUGUGAAAACCCAUUCUGGCGCUUUGCGAAGUUUAAAAAAAUCCACUAGUUCUCAAGAGCUUGUUACCCACCGACUCUGUGUGCCUAGUACCUCAACUUAAUUCCCCCAGCAAGUCAAGACAUAGAAGACGCAUAUGGCUCGUCACCAAGGAACUUACACUCAACUGGGGGAAAUGGAGCGCUCACACCAGAAGUCUGUUUUGUUUCUGUCAGUGAUUGGGUGCUGGAAUCAGGACACGUU
Non-coding RNA from Equus caballus (horse), 2629 nucleotides. The record is from RefSeq and is a predicted model, not a curated record. NCBI's taxonomy places the organism in Eukaryota, Metazoa, Chordata, Mammalia, Perissodactyla, Equidae.